Cinara cedri is the source of this 339-nucleotide non-coding RNA. Lineage: Eukaryota; Metazoa; Arthropoda; Insecta; Hemiptera; Aphididae. The record is from the annotation of a GenBank genome assembly.
CGGCGCCUUAUUCGCCCCUCUCCGCCAACUCCGCCGCCACCCCUUACACCCUUGCAACCUCCCCGCCGUAAUUCCGGGCCGUAACGCGGAGAAACUGUUGAAAUCAUUUGUCAAAACGAGCGCUAACGUGACUCGGCAGUUUCUUUCUCGGGGCGCGCACCCCGCCGAGCAAACACUUUAUAUGUAUCAGAAAACGUUAUUAACUGUACCGAAAUAUUUUGACAUUUACAAUAUUAUUAUUAUUAUUAUUACUGUUGCUGUUGUGUCUCGCGCGCAUAACGCAAUAACAACGCGAUAAUAUAUUUCGGGUAUUUUUUUAUGUUUUUUUUUUUUUUUUUU